CCCCGCUGAACUUAAGCAUAUUAAUAAGCGGAGGAAAAGAAACUAACAAGGAUUCCCCUAGUAACGGCGAGUGAAGCGGGAUGAGCUCAAGCUUAAAAUCUCCGUACAAGUUUUGUACGGCGAAUUGUAGUCUAUAGAGGCGUGGUCAGCGUGGGCUCUUGGGGCAAGUUCCUUGGAAAAGGACAGCAUGGAGGGUGAUACUCCCGUUCAUCUCCGAGUGGCUCGUGCGUACGACCCGUUUUCUUUGAGUCGCGUUGUUUGAGAAUGCAGCGCAAAGUAGGUGGUAAAUUCCAUCUAAAGCUAAAUAUUGGUGCGAGACCGAUAGCAUACAAGUACCGUGAGGGAAAGAUGAAAAGAACUUUGAAAAGAGAGUUAAAGAGUACCUGAAACUGCUGAAAGGGAACCGAAUCGUUUCCAGUGUCUAUAAUCUGUGGCAUAUUUCAUUGGCGAGUGUGUGCGUGCGUGUGCUGUGGCAGCGGCCUUUUGGCUGCGCUUGGCGUGUGUGGUGUGUGUGCUUGCUGGUGCCCUGUGCUGCGGUGGGACGUCAAUGUCAGUUCGUAUGCUGCGGGAAAUGGCUGCCGAGGAGGUAGGGCUUACGCUUGCGUUUGUCUGUUAUAUCUUGGUGGACGAGUCGUCGCGGUUGGGACUGAGGUGCCUACAACGUGCUUUUGAGUGGGUUUGUGUCUCCGUGUGUGCCGUGUGCGGAUAGCUUGCUAUGCGUGUGUGGUUAUGUGUGGAUUGAUAUGGGCUUUAACUUGUUGCCGUUCGGGACGUUGACGAAAUGGAGCGAUCCGACCCGUCUUG
RNAcentral lists this ribosomal RNA (804 nucleotides) under Peronospora ficariae. Its description in RNAcentral is "partial large subunit ribosomal RNA". It matches the Rfam family "Eukaryotic large subunit ribosomal RNA", at positions 24 to 656 of the family's 3401-position model. Lineage: Eukaryota; Oomycota; Peronosporomycetes; Peronosporales; Peronosporaceae. The record is from RNAcentral.